CCUACGGGUGGCAGCAGUGAGGAAUAUUGGUCAAUGGACGAGAGUCUGAACCAGCCAAGUAGCGUGACGGAUGACUGCCCUAUGGGUUGUAAACUUCUUUUAUAUGGGAAUAAAAUGUUCCACGUGUGGGAUUUUGUAUGUACCAUAUGAAUAAGGAUCGGCUAACUCCGUGCCAGCAGCCGCGGUAAUACGGAGGAUCCGAGCGUUAUCCGGAUUUAUUGGGUUUAAAGGGAGCGUAGGUGGAUUUUUAAGUCAGUUGUGAAAGUUUGCGGCUCAACCGUAAAAUUGCAGUUGAAACUGGCAGUCUUGAGUACAGUAGAGGUGGGCGGAAUUCGUGGUGUAGCGGUGAAAUGCUUAGAUAUCACGAAGAACUCCGAUUGCGAAGGCAGUUCACUGGACUGCAACUGACACUGAGGCUCGAAAGUGUGGGUAUCAAACAGGAUUAGAUACCCUUGUAGUC
This 460-nucleotide ribosomal RNA is filed under the name uncultured bacterium. RNAcentral's name for it is "partial 16S ribosomal RNA". It matches the Rfam family "Bacterial small subunit ribosomal RNA", at positions 338 to 795 of the family's 1533-position model. The record is from RNAcentral.